UCCAGGGUUCCAGAUACAUAACAUUCUGCUACACAGAUGCUGUUUCCUUUGCCCAGCACACCUGUCACUCACCUCAACCCUUUCUCUCUUUUCCCCAUCUUUCUGUGGCUAGCUCCUCCUCAUUCUUUAGGUCUCAGUGUAGAUAGCACCACUAUCAGGAAGGAGUCCAGACACUGCCAGGCCUAAGAUGAGUAAAUGGAGGCUCAGAGACACUAAAUGACCUAACCAAGGUCACUAGCAUGUAAAGUACUAGUGCCCAGACUCUGAUCUGAGUCCUUGGACUUCAAUUCCUGUAACUCCCGCACUGCCAUCAUUUGCCUGACCCUUGGUAUAGCACCAAGGGGUUCUACACAAAGAAGAGUGGAUGCACUUGGAGUAGAUUCACUUCUUCCCAUUCCUCCUGCUAAACUAAACACAGCUAAAGCCCUUGGACAUUAUAUAUAAAACUAACAUAAAAAGACAGAAAGGUGCAGAAAAAGAAGCAGACUGACUAGCAACCUUGGAACCUUGAUUUUGGAACCCAAGAAUUGAAUGGCAGUGAGUUUGUGGAUUUUCUUUUUGCCUCGCAAAUCCUGAACUAGGUGCUAGAGAAGCAGCCCAGAAAUGCCAAAGAGCAUGCACAAAAUAAGGUCCCAAGAAAAGCCUGCUUGUUCUCUUUAGCCAAAGCACUAGGAAGGCAAUUCAGCAAGGCAGAAACUUUUAGAGAAUAACUUUCCUACUCUAGCCAAACACCAUGGAAAAAUAUCACAGCCCUACCACCACCCCUGUUAGCAAAGGCCAAGUGGGGAGCCUAAACUUCCACCUUUAAUUAGCUGUAAGGAGGUACCCUCCCCAGACUCCACCCCUCACCAGGGUGUUAUCAGAGAAUAUGGAGUGGGGAGCUGGGACUUUCAUCCCUAUCCAGAGGUAACGAGCUCUCUAUCCAGCAGCAGUAACAAGGCACCCUUCCAACUCUGCCAGGAUGAAGUCAGAGGAGGCCAUCUGGGAAGUCUGGAAUCCCAUAUCCACCAGUAAAGCACCUUUUUCUCCACUCUGGGUAGUCAAAGGAGGCUGAGUGGAGAACCUGGACCUUCACCCUUGCUUGGCAUUAGCAAAAUGAAACUCCCUCCCUUAACAGGCAUGGUGUCAGAGGAAGCCUGCUAAAACAGAAGAUUUAAGUAAGAUCCAGAGUCUCAUAACACCCAAAAUGUCCAGUGUACAAUUAAAAAAUCACACAUCACACCAAGAACCAGGAAAAUCUCAACUUGAAUGAAAAAAAAAAUCAGCAGAUGGCAACACCGAGAUGACACAGAUAUUGGAAUUAUCUGACAAAGAUAUGAAUACUCUUGGCACAAAAAAUAGAAAAUCUUAUUGAAUAGAAGCUAAAUGGAAAUUUUAGAACUGAAAAAUAUAACCACCAAAGUAAAAAAAAUCCAUUGGAUGAGUUCAAUGGCAGAACAAAGGGGACAGAAGAAAGAAUCCAUGAACUUGAAAACAGAACUGUAGAAAUGACCCAAGCUCGGUGCGGUGGCUCACACCUGUAAUCCCAGCACUUUGGGAGGCCGAGGUGGGUGGAUCACUUGAGGUCAGGAGUUCAAGACCAGCCUGGCCAACAUGAUGAAACCCUGUCUCUACUAAAAAUACAAAAAUUAACUGGGCGUGGUGGCGGAUGCUUGUAAUCCCAGCUACUUGGCAGGCUGAGGCAGGAGAAUCCCUUGAAUCCGGGAGGUGGAGGUUGCAGUGAGCCAAGAUUGCGCCAUCGCACUCCAGCCUGGGGGAGAAGAACGAGACUUCAUAAAAAAAAAAAAAUAAAUAAAAAAAGAAAUGACCCAAGCUGAAUAACUUUAAAUUGUGUAAAUACACAGACUUCCUUAUCUUCUUAAGUUUUCUAAAUUGUUUGAUGGCUGAAGCAAAAAGUAUAACAUGGCCUGAAUGUGGAUCUCAAUGUAUAUAGAUGAAAUAUUUAAUACAAUUAUAUCAUAAGUGGAAAAAACAAGGGACUUACAAGAAGGUAAGGUUUCUACUUUUGUAUUGAAGUGAUAGAAUAUGGACAUCAGCUGAUCUUUUUUUUUUUUUUGAAACGGAGUCUCACUCUGUUGCCCAGUAGUGCAGUGGCGCCAUCUUGGCUCACUGCAACCUCCACCUCCCUGGUUCAAGCAAUUCCCCUGCCUCAGCCUUCCGAGUAGCUGGGAUUACAGGCGCCUGCCACCACGUCCGGCUAAUUUUUUUGUAUUUUUAGUAGAGAUGGGGUUUCACCAUGUUGGCCAGACGGGUCUCAAACUCCUGACCUCAGGUGAUCCACCCACCUCCGCCUGCCAAAGUGCUGGGAUUACAGGCAUGAGCCACUGGGCCCGGCCAGAUCUUUGUGGUGAUAAAAUAGUUCUGUUAUCUUGAUUGCAGCGGUGGCUGCAAGAAUCUACAGGUAUGAUAAAACGGCAUAGACUACACAUUGUACCAAUGUCAAUUCACUGGUUUUGAUUGUGUACUAUAGGGCAAUAUUAAGUGAAGAGUACACAGGACCCUUUUUAAGUAUCUUUGCAACUUCCUGUAUGUCUAAAAUUAUUUUAAAUCCAAAAGGUUUUUAAAAAGAGGACAAAAAAAAAGAAUAAAAGAGAACUGAAGGGGCAUCAUCACAGGCAACUGGGGAACCCCCUUUUCAAUCUGGAGGCCAUACGUGAGGGGAGAUGGUGCUCAGAGAGCACAGGUUUCCAGCCUGGAACCUUUGGCUCAGGCCCUAGUCUCACCCUCCAGUGACAUCACAAAGCCUCAGAAGCCCCACCGACCAUGCAGAAGUUUUGCUAACGGAACUAUCAUCUGUGUUUGUAUUGGAAGCAGUUGUUUGGCCUUGCUGAGCAAACGUCUAUGCCUUCUCCAUUACAUCCAAAGGAGAAUAGCCCCAUGUGAAGAAUGGAAUCAGUAGAUGUUUGGUCGCUGUACCAUAUCCACUCCUAGGAUACAACAAGAGCAAGCCCAAUUCUCUUGGUGGUGUGGGCAGUCGGCUUGCACCACGUACCUAUCUCAGCUCUUUUUGGAAGCUUAUGUCCUCCCCACAACUUCCAGCUUUCUUAUGGGACAAGGGUACACUCACCACUGCCAUAUCUAAUCCUGCUUGCCUGGUAAAUGUUCUCUUCUUCUUUACACCCCUGAUGACUCUGGUCACUCUACUCAUCCUGGUCUGGAAAGUAACCAAAGACAAAAGCAACAAGAACAGAGAGACACACCCAAGAAAGGAGGCAACAUGGCUGCCAUAAAGAUCUGGAUCUCUUGGUGGGGACUCCACUGAGGUGAAGACCUGAUUGUACAAGAGAGGCACGGCCACUGGAGCUGUCUCAGAGCCCAGAGCCAGGGGAGCCAGAGCUGCUUUAGCCACCCUGUUCCUCCAUUGCCAGAUGUCCCCCCAGGCCUCAUUUCCUUCCUCUGCCACCAUCCCUCUUAUAAUGCACUCCUCCUGCGGUUCUUUGGCUUGUCCCAGCUUCUGAGUUUGAAUGUCUUUUUUUUUUUUUUUUUUUUUGUGGAUCUUCAAGACUGAAAUAGUAAAUGGCUCUUGAUUUCUGCACUAACAGAGGAAAGAAACAAGUACAUGGAAAAGUAAAAAUUGAUUACAAAGCCUAAAUUUUCCUCUAUAAAUUGGGCAUGUGCUGACUGUGGGAUAUUGAAAUUAUUGGGAGCUCACAGCAUCUCAAGUUAUAUAAUGAAGCUAUUCUGGAAGCUCAUUUCCAGAAGAUCCUUAAAAUGAAAUGGCUCACUCUCUGCUGAAUUCUUCUGUAUUUGGAAACACUGUAAGGAGUCCACAGGCUUCACCAGACUGCCAAAGG
RNAcentral lists this long non-coding RNA (3794 nucleotides) under Homo sapiens (human). RNAcentral's name for it is "HSALNT0296042". Lineage: Eukaryota; Metazoa; Chordata; Mammalia; Primates; Hominidae. The record is from RNAcentral.